UACGUAGGGUGCAAGCGUUGUCCGGAAUUAUUGGGCGUAAAGAGUUCGUAGGCGGUCUGUCGCGUCGGAUGUGAAAGCUCAGGGCUCAACCCUGAGUCUGCAUCCGAUACGGGCAGACUAGAGUCAGGUAGGGGAGAACGGAAUUCCUGGUGUAGCGGUGAAAUGCGCAGAUAUCAGGAGGAACACCGGUGGCGAAGGCGGUUCUCUGGGCCUGUACUGACGCUGAGGAACGAAAGCGUGGGGAGCGAACAGGAUUAGAAACCCCCGUAGUCC
This 273-nucleotide ribosomal RNA is filed under the name uncultured bacterium. RNAcentral describes it as "partial 16S ribosomal RNA". It matches the Rfam family "Bacterial small subunit ribosomal RNA", at positions 524 to 796 of the family's 1533-position model. The record is from RNAcentral.